ACAAACGAUCUCCUUUCUCUCCAAGGUUUCACUCUGACCAAAUGAAUGCAACUGACUGGAGAAGUAUUCAAUUACAUAGCUAUACAGAACCACAUAAAAUCACAAGUCUAGAGACGUUAAGGGGAGAAGUCAAGGUUCAGGCACCGGGAUGGGAUUUCUGGAAGGCCCUUCUGCACCCUAGGACCUGUACUGGAACCCAGAGCUGGAAUUCCCACAUCUUCUCCACUUGGUUCACUGGUCAAAUAUAUAUGACUUCUUACAGAUGGUAUUUCACCUAAGGCACCAUGCAAGUUCAAACAAAUAAAAAGCAACAGAAUGAAACCCUUGAAAUGCACUGAGAAACUGAACUCUUAAGUCUACUACAUCAUCGGGCAGCUGGCUAAAGUAAUUCAUCUAAUGCAAAAGUAUGCUUUGUUAUAAAGUGAACAAAAUAUGGAGCAGUAUCUACAGGAGGCUACAGAGUCCAGGAGAGUGAUGGGCACAUCUUGAAGAUGGACAAGAUUAUAUAUUACAGAGAAAGAGCUAUUAGAAAGACAGUGAAAAACACUCAACUGACAACAAUCAAGAACUUCCAACCUGCAAAGCACUACUUUAGAGGAACAAGACAGAAGAGGACAGAUGUGGUUCCGAAAUGUAGAGUCACGGUCAUGAGUCCCCCAGCACAGAGAGAUACCCAAAUGACAAUGCCAUAAUGAAAGACUUAAUCACC
This is a long non-coding RNA of Odocoileus virginianus texanus, 709 nucleotides long. RefSeq lists it as uncharacterized. The record is from RefSeq and is a predicted model, not a curated record. Lineage: Eukaryota; Metazoa; Chordata; Mammalia; Artiodactyla; Cervidae.